UACGUAGGGGGCGAGCGUUGUCCGGAUUUAUUGGGCGUAAAGAGCGUGUAGGCGGUUCGGUAAGUCUGUCGUGAAAUCCUGGGGCUCAACCCCGGGCGUGCGAUGGAUACUGUCGGGCUAGAGUGCUGAAGGGGCAACUGGAAUUCUCGGUGUAGCGGUGAAAUGCGUAGAUAUCGAGAGGAACACCUGCGGCGAAGGCGGGUUGCUGGGCU
This 212-nucleotide ribosomal RNA is filed under the name uncultured bacterium. Its description in RNAcentral is "partial 16S ribosomal RNA". It matches the Rfam family "Bacterial small subunit ribosomal RNA", at positions 524 to 735 of the family's 1533-position model. The record is from RNAcentral.